Molecule: ribosomal RNA, 433 nt
Filed under: uncultured bacterium
Lineage: Bacteria
Description: partial 16S ribosomal RNA
Rfam family: Bacterial small subunit ribosomal RNA
Source: RNAcentral
AACGAACGCUGGCGGCAUGCCUAACACAUGCAAGUCGAGCGCGCCCAUCGGGAUGUUCGGCGGACGGGGGUGUAACGCGUGGGAACGUUCCCUUCUCUGCGGCAUACCUUCGGGAAACGGAUAAUUAUACGGCAUCGGCGCUUUUGCGGGAAAAUUUAUUGGAGAAGGAUGGUCGCUCGUUGGAUAAGGUAGUUGGUAGGGUAAUAGCCCACCAAGCGCACGAUCAGUAGCUGGUUAGAGAGGAUGAUCAGCGACACUGCGACUGAGACACGGCCCAGACUCCUACGGGAGGCAGGAGUGGGGAAUCUUAGACAAUGGGGGCAAUCAUGAACUAGCCAUGCCGCGAGAGCGAUGAAGGUCUGAGGGUAGUAAAGCGCAUUCAGCUGGGAAGAUAUUGACGGUACCAGCAGAAGAAGCCCCGGCUAACUCCGUG